CACACGACUCUCGGCAACGGAUAUCUUGGCUCUCGCAUCGAUGAAGAACGUAGCGAAAUGCGAUACCUGGUGUGAAUUGCAGAAUCCCGUGAACCAUCGAGUCUUUGAACGCAAGUUGCGCCCGAGGCCAUUCGGCCGAGGGCACGCCUGCCUGGGCGUCACGC
RNAcentral lists this ribosomal RNA (164 nucleotides) under Oryza latifolia. Its description in RNAcentral is "5.8S ribosomal RNA". It matches the Rfam family "5.8S ribosomal RNA". Rfam says of the family: 5.8S ribosomal RNA (5.8S rRNA) is a component of the large subunit of the eukaryotic ribosome. It is transcribed by RNA polymerase I as part of the 45S precursor that also contains 18S and 28S rRNA. The record is from RNAcentral. Lineage: Eukaryota; Viridiplantae; Streptophyta; Magnoliopsida; Poales; Poaceae.